AUUUUUAGUUAAGAGAGUCAGUCCUAAGCUUUGAAUAAUUUUUCAAACACUAUGUUACCAGUAUUGCUUUUUUUUCAAUUCUACUAUUUUUUAAAAAAUAGUUUUCAUAAUCACGUGUUAUGUAUGCACUGUAAUAACUCUUGAGUCCGCGGUUUUUCAAAUCAAGAAAAUAAAUUACAAUAAAAAUAAUUUUCGCUCAGCGUACAAUAUAAUAGAUCACUGAUUGCAACUCUAUCGAGAUUAUGCAGUCUAUUGACUAAGAUCUAUAUUAACAUUGAUAUGAAAAAGUGUAUGAAAAGUAAAUACUGUCGGUGGUAAAUUUAAUUACCGUACUGUGAAUGCCAACGUGGGUUGUUAAUUGUAUGAACAUAACAUCUCCACAAAGCCAAUAGAUGUAGCAUAAUAGUAUCACUGUUUGCUCGAAAAAAAGACAUAUAAAGUAUCGGGGGAAAGUAUUUACCUCAAAUGGAUAACUUAUCGGAUAUACAAUUAUAGAAAAAUUAAAAAAAUAUUCAUCUCUAUGAGACAAAAAAUGACUGCAGAGUAUCCUAUAAAAAAAUAAAUAUUAUAAGAAAAAUUAAAUGAAUUUACUUGGGGCGUACGAAUAAUUGGAACUAAUCCGAAAAUUCAAAUUAUCUGUAUAGAGUUGAAGCACCGGUUUAGGACACGAAACCUUUUUCUGGAUACUUUCUACUUUAUUUUGAUGUAUUAAGAAUAUAAAAAAUAUUGUUAUUGCAACACUUAUAAUUAAAGUAUCUUCAAGUAUGAUAUAAAUAUGUAAGAUGUUUUCGCGUAUUCUAUAAAUUGCCCUAUCGAAAUUCUAUAGUUUUCAAAACAGGCGCAAGAGUAAUAUCAAUAGUUAUAAUAUUUAUGAGCGCAACUGUUAAAAAAUAGAGCAUCAAACUCAGUAUUAAAAUCCCAAAAAGUGGGGUAAUUUUUUCCCACCAUUUUUCCC
This is a long non-coding RNA of Microplitis mediator, 955 nucleotides long. RefSeq lists it as uncharacterized. The transcript has 4 exons. The record is from RefSeq and is a predicted model, not a curated record. Lineage: Eukaryota; Metazoa; Arthropoda; Insecta; Hymenoptera; Braconidae.